UACGUAGGUGGCAAGCGUUGUCCGGAAUUACUGGGCGUAAAGAGCGCGCAGGCGGUCGUUCAAGUCGCGUGUGAAAGCCCCCGGCUCAACUGGGGAGGGUCACGCGAUACUGAUCGACUCGAAGGCAGGAGAGGGUAGUGGAAUUCCCGGUGUAGUGGUGAAAUGCGUAGAUAUCUGGAGGAACACCGGUGGCGAAGGCGGCAUUCUGGACUACAACUGACACUGAGGAACGAAAGCCAGGGGAGCAAACGGG
RNAcentral lists this ribosomal RNA (253 nucleotides) under uncultured bacterium. RNAcentral describes it as "partial 16S ribosomal RNA". It matches the Rfam family "Bacterial small subunit ribosomal RNA", at positions 524 to 776 of the family's 1533-position model. The record is from RNAcentral.